Molecule: small RNA, 103 nt
Filed under: Treponema pedis str. T A4
Lineage: Bacteria; Pseudomonadati; Spirochaetota; Spirochaetia; Treponematales; Treponemataceae
Description: TD-2 RNA
Rfam family: TD-2 RNA
About the family: non coding RNA found in Treponema denticola
Source: Rfam by way of RNAcentral
UUUGCAAAUUGCAAAGCUGCAUACAAUAAACGAUGUUUUGUGCAAAGCACAAAACUCGAAGAUAAACAGUGAGGCUGAAUUUCUGCCGAACUGCUUAUCGAAU